Long non-coding RNA from Oncorhynchus keta (chum salmon), 660 nucleotides. RefSeq lists it as uncharacterized. Lineage: Eukaryota; Metazoa; Chordata; Actinopteri; Salmoniformes; Salmonidae. The record is from RefSeq and is a predicted model, not a curated record. The transcript has 3 exons.
CCAUCUGAUUCUCCCAGGUUUCUCUCUCCUCUCUCCAUCUGAUCCUCCCAGGUUUCUCUCUCCUCUCUCCAUCUGAUCCUCCCAGGUUUCUCUCUCCUCUCUCCAUCUGAUCCUCCCAGGUUUCUCUCUCCUCUCUCCAUCUGAUCCUCCCAGGUUUCUCUCUCCUCUCUCCAUCUGAUCCUCCCAGGUUUCUCUCUCCUCUCUCCAUCUGAUCCUCCCAGGUUUCUCUCUCCUCUCUCCAUCUGAUCCUCCCAGGUUUCUCUCUCCUCUCUCCAUCUGAUCCUCCCAGGUUUCUCUCUCCUCUCUCCAUCUGAUCCUCCCAGGUUUCUCUCUCCUCUCUCCAUCGGAUCCUCCCAGGUUUCUCUCUCCAUCUGAUCCUCCCAGGUUUCUCUCUCCUCUCUCCAUCUGAUCCUCUCCUCUCAUGAUUCGACACUUGAGAUCCAUCUAUGUUGUCCUGAGUUGUAUUAUUGUGUGUGGUAUGUUGUUCUUACCGCUCUUCCUCACUUCUUUUGUUUAAAUGGUUUACCUUGUUUUGGGCUUGAGACUCUUUAUCGUCUUACGUCGAGGACAAUUUGUAAUCUAAUAACUUACUAUUAACGUAAUUACUUUGUCCCUGUUUUAUGUCUUUUAUUGGGUUAUGAUGUAACAGUAUCACUGCCU